UUAUAUCAAAUUAGAGUCAAAUCCAACUUACCCUGUCCGCCACGGAGUUGAGUACCGGUAUUCAAAUUGAAGUACUGGUAUUGAAAUACCCCCAGAAUUUUAGUAACGAUACUCAAAAUUGCACAUUGGUAUUCAAUACAAAAGGCAAUUUUUCACCGCUUCGGAUUCUAAGGUACUUCUCAGUACCAGUACUCAAAUUUCAAUUUUCGGCACUUACAAUCCAAAAAUCUCAAAUUUUUUAUUUUUACUAGGAUAUCGACUCGAAACAUGACUUCAUAUAAUCCAACAUUAUUUAUAGUUCUAGAUUUAAAAAGAAAAAUGUAAAGAAAGUAAAAUUUGUUAGUUUAUAAAUUUGUUUAUUAGUUUAUUUUUAUUUGUUUUUGUUGAAAAGUUGUGUACCUUAUGAAAGGGUAUGUCCUUUUGUAAGGUUGUGUCUUUUGGCUUAGAGUCAUGUCCUCCUUUAGUAAAGGAAUGUCUACUUUCGUNAAGAUCCGAUCAAAGAAGACGACGAUAGUGAUGCAUAAACAAGCUUAAGAGGGAAUGUUAGUUUAUAAAUUUGUUUAUUAGUUUAUUUUUAUUUGUUUUUGUUGAAAAGUUGUGUACCUUAUGAAAGGGUAUGUCCUUUUGUAAGGUUGUGUCUUUUGGCUUAGAGUCAUGUCCUCCUUUAGUAAAGGAAUGUCUACUUUCGUGAAGAGUUGCGUCGUUUCAUACUCUAUAAAUAGAGGGCAUGUAAUUUGUUGUUGUGGGUGGAUCAAAUUGUAUUAUUCAGUUGUAGUGUACUGAAGUUUAGUUAUAUUUAAUAAAGUUUGUUAUUCUAGUGUUAAAUAUUUUUUGUAAUUCAUUUAUAUAUUAG
This 853-nucleotide long non-coding RNA is filed under the name Ananas comosus (pineapple). Its description in RNAcentral is "long non-coding RNA (ACOM_LNC024070)". Lineage: Eukaryota; Viridiplantae; Streptophyta; Magnoliopsida; Poales; Bromeliaceae. The record is from RNAcentral.